Molecule: non-coding RNA, 29 nt
Filed under: Mus musculus (house mouse)
Lineage: Eukaryota; Metazoa; Chordata; Mammalia; Rodentia; Muridae
Source: RNAcentral
UGGGAAUCGUAUUGAAUUUAGGAAAAGAG